This is a long non-coding RNA of Lycium barbarum (goji berry), 431 nucleotides long. RefSeq lists it as uncharacterized. The transcript is spliced from 3 exons. The record is from RefSeq and is a predicted model, not a curated record. Lineage: Eukaryota; Viridiplantae; Streptophyta; Magnoliopsida; Solanales; Solanaceae.
UCAAGGGUUCUCUAGAGCCAUCCAAACACUUCAUAUGCAAGAAUCCAAGUGAAACUAAAGAUCCACUUCAUCAAUCCACAAAACUAAGUGUGAGAAACACAUCAAAUCCAUUCAAGUCAAGAAAUUCCAUGGAAGGUGGAAUUAGGGUUUUGUUCAAGUGAAGUAUUUCAAAUCAAGGCUUAUUCCUACAAUAACUAAGAUCAAAGUUGAAAGGGUUGACGAACAUUGUAUUACGCUCAAAGGCUGGAAUUAAGGCAAUGAUAUACAGGUUGACGACUCAGCUAUUUAGGAGUGCACGUAUCAGCUACUGGUGAGCCCCAAAUUCCUUCGGGGCGUUGUCAGCUAUCUAGUUAAUUCAGUUUAUAGACAGUUUUAUUAUUCAGUACUCUUAGAGGCUUCAUAGACACAGUUCAGACAGUCAGAUAUUUGUU